This 69-nucleotide transfer RNA is filed under the name Stenomitos rutilans HA7619-LM2. Its description in RNAcentral is "tRNA-Pro". Lineage: Bacteria; Bacillati; Cyanobacteriota; Cyanophyceae; Leptolyngbyales; Leptolyngbyaceae. The record is from RNAcentral. RNAcentral also lists the same sequence under 1 other name.
GAGGCGUUCGGACGGGUAGGUUCCUACUUUGGGGUAGUAGGGGUCGUGAGUUCGAAUCUCGCCGCUCCG